GAUGAAGAACGUAGCGAAAUGCGAUAAGUAAUGCGAAUUGCAGAAUUCCAGUGAAUCAUCGAGUCUUUGAACGCACAUUGCGCCCCCUGGUAUUCCGGGGGGCAUGCCUGUCCGAGCGUCAUUGCUGCCCUCAAGCACGGCUUGUGUGUUGGGCCCCGUCCUCCGAUCCCGGGGGACGGGCCCGAAAGGCAGCGGCGGCACCGCGUCCGGUCCUCGAGCGUAUGGGGCUUUGUCACCCGCUCUGUAGGCCCGGCCGGCGCUUGCCGAUCAACCCAAAUUUUUAUCCAGGUUGACCUCGGAUCAGGUAGGGAUACCCGCUGAACUUAAGCAUAUCAAUAAGCGGAGGA
RNAcentral lists this unclassified non-coding RNA (347 nucleotides) under soil metagenome. RNAcentral's name for it is "partial contains 5.8S ribosomal RNA, internal transcribed spacer 2, and large subunit ribosomal RNA". The stretch from base 1 to 121 matches the Rfam family "5.8S ribosomal RNA", at positions 35 to 154 of the family's 154-position model. The record is from RNAcentral.